GGCGGCAUUUAAUAUACUUAGAGGAAUAUGUUUCWUAAUCGACAACCCCCGUUAAAUCUUACUUAAUGUAAAAUUUUAUAUACCUCCGKCUAAAGAGAUUUUAAAAAUAAUUCCUCUAAAUUAAAAUAAGUCAGGUAAAGGUGUAAACUAAAUUUAAGAUGAAAUGUAUUACUAUAAAACUAAUUUAAGGAAUAAAAUUUAACCAAUUUACAAAAGAGGAUUUAUAAGUA
Molecule: ribosomal RNA, 230 nt
Filed under: Mysmena sp. MYSM-037-THAI
Lineage: Eukaryota; Metazoa; Arthropoda; Arachnida; Araneae; Mysmenidae
Description: partial 12S ribosomal RNA
Source: RNAcentral